GCAUCGGUGGUUUAGUGGUAAAAUUAGCCGUUGCCAUGUGACCUCCACAUCACACAGUUUCGGCUAGCCCCGGGUUCGAUUCCCGGCCGAUGCA
RNAcentral lists this transfer RNA (94 nucleotides) under Didymella glomerata. RNAcentral's name for it is "tRNA-Gly". It matches the Rfam family "tRNA". From Rfam's summary of the family: Transfer RNA (tRNA) molecules are approximately 80 nucleotides in length. Their secondary structure includes four short double-helical elements and three loops (D, anti-codon, and T loops). Lineage: Eukaryota; Fungi; Ascomycota; Dothideomycetes; Pleosporales; Didymellaceae. The record is from RNAcentral.